Molecule: long non-coding RNA, 275 nt
Organism: Dermochelys coriacea (leatherback sea turtle)
Lineage: Eukaryota; Metazoa; Chordata; Testudines; Dermochelyidae
Exons: 3
Source: RefSeq, a predicted model, not a curated record
GAGACUGGGAGGGGCUGGCUCAUGACAAAAGUAAUUUUCCCUCUCUUGGUAUUGACACCUCCUCAUCAAUUAUUGGGAGUGGUCCACAUCCACCCAAUAAAUUGGCCUUGUUAUCACUGGUUCUCCACUUGUAAGGUAACUCCCUCCUCUUCAUUUGCCAGUAUAUCUAUGCCUGAAUCUGUAAUUUUCCCUCCAUGCAUCUGAAGAAGUGGUUUUUUAUCCACGAAAGCUUAUGCCCAAAUAAAUCUGUUAGUCUUUAAGGUAGAUUGGAAGAG